AUUGAACGCUGGCGGCAGGCCUAACACAUGCAAGUCGAGCGGAAGAAGGGAGCUUGCUCCUGGAUUCAGCGGCGGACGGGUGAGUAAUGCCUAGGAAUCUGCCUGGUAGUGGGGGAUAACGUCCGGAAACGGGCGCUAAUACCGCAUACGUCCUGAGGGAGAAAGUGGGGGAUCUUCGGACCUCACGCUAUCAGAUGAGCCUAGGUCGGAUUAGCUAGUUGGUGGGGUAAAGGCCUACCAAGGCGACGAUCCGUCACUGGUCUGAGAGGAUGAUCAGUCACACUGGAACUGAGACACGGUCCAGACUCCUACGGGAGGCAGCAGUGGGGAAUAUUGGACAAUGGGCGAAAGCCUGAUCCAGCCAUGCCGCGUGUGUGAAGAAGGUCUUCGGAUUGUAAAGCACUUUAAGUUGGGAGGAAGGGCAGUAAGUUAAUACCUUGCUGUUUUGACGUUACCAACAGAAUAAGCACCGGCUAACUUCGUG
This 484-nucleotide ribosomal RNA is filed under the name uncultured bacterium. RNAcentral describes it as "partial 16S ribosomal RNA". It matches the Rfam family "Bacterial small subunit ribosomal RNA", at positions 30 to 507 of the family's 1533-position model. The record is from RNAcentral.